UACGUAGGGGGCAAGCGUUGUCCGGAUUUAUUGGGCGUAAAGAGCGUGUAGGCGGCCUGAAAGGUCAGCUGUGAAAACUCGAGGCUCAACCUCGAGACGUCGGUUGAAACCAUCUGGCUAGAGUCCGGAAGAGGAGUGUGGAAUUCCCGGUGUAGCGGUGAAAUGCGCAGAUAUCGGGAGGAACACCGGUGGCGAAGGCGGGUCUCUGGGCCAUUACUGACGCUGAGGAGCGAAAGCGUGGGGAGCGAACAGG
RNAcentral lists this ribosomal RNA (253 nucleotides) under uncultured bacterium. RNAcentral's name for it is "partial 16S ribosomal RNA". It matches the Rfam family "Bacterial small subunit ribosomal RNA", at positions 524 to 776 of the family's 1533-position model. The record is from RNAcentral.